Long non-coding RNA from Portunus trituberculatus (swimming crab), 1066 nucleotides. RefSeq lists it as uncharacterized. The record is from RefSeq and is a predicted model, not a curated record. The transcript is spliced from 2 exons. Lineage: Eukaryota; Metazoa; Arthropoda; Malacostraca; Decapoda; Portunidae.
AUAGAUUUCCUACUUUCCCUUAGGCUUUAUUUCCUCUGCCCAGAUUUUAUUUUAUUCUCCCUGUGCAUUUAUUCAUCUUUAUUUCAUUUAUUCACUUUUCCUGCUUGCCAUAGUUUCCUCUUUCCUUCCCUGCUUCUUUUUCAACUUCUCCUUGCCUUUCCUCUUAUUCUCACUGGCUUUCCUCUUACCCUUCUAAGGCUCUUACUAAUCUCCUUGUGUACUCAGAACCUCCUCUUGCUUACUCUUACUAAUAGAAGGACAACUUACUUUCAUUGCUUUAUUGAAGAGUGACAGACUGCAAAUGAAGGAUAAAGAGUCAUUCUGUACGUCCGAGUGUCUCAAUAUGAAUAAAGAAUAGAAAUAAGGAGUCAUUCUGUACAUGCAAGUGUCUCAAUAAAGAACCGGUGAAUUUAUUUAAGCUUUUAUUUAAAUCGAUGGAUAACAAGUCUGGUAAAAAUAGACAGACCCACUCACAGACUUAAUUCAACUAUACACUUUUAUUAUUAUUAUUAUUAUUAUUAUUAUUAUUAUUAUUAUUAUUAUUAUUAUUAUUCUGUUUUCUUUUCACUGAGCUGAUUGAGUUAUAUAAUGUAAUGGAGUAAUUAUUAAUAGGCCGAGGUAUUAUACAAUGGCAAGUGAGAAUUUCUGUACAAUAUACUACAAAUACACUGAGACUGAAGGGAAUGAGGGGGGGGGAGACGAGGGACACUGGAGGAGAGAUGAGAGACAAGAGACGAGAGAGACAGAGACACAGAGAGGCAAAAAUAAAGACAGAGAGAGAGACAGAGAUAGUUAACAGAAGAGAGACUGAGGUGAGGGAGGGAGAUAAGAGACAAUGGAGGAGAGAGAGAGAGAGAGAGAGAGAGAGAGAGAGAGAGAGAGAGAGAGAGAGAGAGAGAGAGAGAUAGACAGACAAGGAGAUACAUAUUUCAACAUUUCUCUAUCUAAUUCUUCCCUUCACUGUAUUUAAAUCUGGUGUGUGUGUGUGUGUGUGUGUGUGUGUGUGUGUGUGUGUGUGUGUGUGUGUGUGUGUGUGUGUGUGUGUGUGUGUGUGUGUGUGUGUGUG